GGUGGAGACAAUCACAAGGACAGGUGAAACAGAUCAGAGUGUGACACCUGGAGGGGGUGGAGACAAUCACAAGGACAGGUGAAACAGAUCAGAGUGUGACACCUGGAGGGGGUGGAGACAAUCACAAGGACAGGUGAAACAGAUCAGAGUGUGACACCUGGAGGGGGUGGAGACAAUCACAAGGACAGGUGAAACAGAUCAGAGUGUGACACCUGGAGGGGGUGGAGCCAAUCACAAGGACAGGUGAAACAGAUCAGAGUGUGACACCUGGAGGGGGUGGAGCCAAUCACAAGGACAGGUGAAACAGAUCAGAGUGUGACACCUGGAGGGGGUGGAGCCAAUCACAAGGACAGGUGAAACAGAUCAGAGUGUGACACCUGGAGGGGGUGGAGCCAAUCACAAGGACAGGUGAAACAGAUCAGAGUGUGACACCUGGAGGGGGUGGAGCCAAUCACAAGGACAGGUGAAACAGAUCAGAGUGUGACACCUGGAGGGGGUGGAGCCAAUCACAAGGACAGGUGAAACAGAUCAGAGUGUGACACCUGGAGGGGGUGGAGCCAAUCACAAGGACAGGUGAAACAGAUCAGAGUGUGACACCUGGAGGGGGUGGAGCCAAUCACAAGGACAGGUGAAACAGAUCAGGGCGUGACACUUAAGUAUAUUUGAUCAAUUACAUUUACUUUUGAUAUUUAAGUAUAUUUAAAACAAAAAACUUUUAGACUUUUACUCAAGUAGUAUUUUACUCAGUGUACUUACCUACCAACCUUGUACUGUUUAAUAAUAAGUUUAUGCUAUUUAUCAAGUACCCUACCCGAGUCCUUACCUUAAGGUUUCGUAUCUAUGUCCUCCAACCCAGGGUUUGCAUCCUUCUUUCCUUUCAUUAACGCUCAAUAACUUGUUGUUACCAAUAACAUCUUACUAACUUGUUAUUACCUUAUUUAACAUAUUACUAACCUGUUAUUACCAUUAAUAUAUUACUAACUUGUUGUUACCAAUAACAUCUUACUAACUUGUUAUUACCAUAAUUAACAUAUUACUAACUUGUUAUCACAAUAACAUAAUACUAACUUGUUAUUACCAUAAUUAACAUAUUACUAACUUGUUAUUACCAUAAUUAACAUAUUACUAACUUGUUAUUACCAUUAACAUCUUACUAACUUGUUAUUACCACAAACAUAUUACUAAAUUAUUGUUACCAUUAACAUCUUACUAACUUACUAACGGGGCGGCAGGUAGCCUAGUGGUUAGGUUGUUGGACCAUUAACCAGCAGGUAGACUAGUUGUUAGGGUGUUGGGACAGUAACCAGCAGGUAGCCUAGUGGUUAGGUUGUUGGACCAUUAACCAGCAGGUAGACUAGUUUUUAGGGUGUUGGGACAGUAACCAGCAGGUAGCCUAGUUGUUAGGGUGUUGGGACAGUAACCAGCAGGUAGCCUAGUUGUUAGGGUGUUGGGACAGUAACCAGCAGGUAGCCUAGUUGUUAGGGUGUUGGGACAGUAACCAGCAGGUAGACUAGUUGUUAGGGUGUUGGGACAGUAACCAGCAGGUAGCCUAGUUGUUAGGGUGUUGGGACAGUAACCAGCAGGUAGCCUAGUUGUUAGGGUGUUGGGACAGUAACCAGCAGGUAGCCUAGUUGUUAGGGUGUUGGGACAGUAACCAGCAGGUAGCCUAGUUGUUAGGGUGUUGGGACAGUAACCAGCAGGUAGCCUAGUUGUUAGGGUGUUGGGACAGUAACCAGCAGGUAGCCUAGUUGUUAGGGUGUUGGGACAGUAACCAGCAGGUAGCCUAGUUGUUAGGGUGUUGGGACAGUAACCAGCAGGUAGCCUAGUUGUUAGGGUGUUGGGACAGUAACCAGCAGGUAGCCUAGUUGUUAGGGUGUUGGGACAGUAACCAGCAGGUAGCCUAGUUGUUAGGGUGUUGGGACAGUAACCAGCAGGUAGCCUAGUUGUUAGGGUGUUGGGACAGUACCCAGCAGGUAGACUAGUUGUUAGGGUGUUGGGACAGUACCCAGCAGGUAGACUAGUUGUUAGGGUGUUGGGACAGUAACCAGCAGGUAGCCUAGUUGUUAGGGUGUUGGGACAGUACCCAGCAGGUAGCCUAGUUGUUAGGGUGUUGGGACAGUAACCAGCAGGUAGCCUAGUUGUUAGGGUGUUGGGACAGUAACCAGCAGGUAGCCUAGUUGUUAGGGUGUUGGGACAGUACCCAGCAGGUAGACUAGUUGUUAGGGUGUUGGGACAGUAACUGAAAGGUUGCUAGAUGAAAUCCCCCGAGCUGACAAGGUAAAAAUCUGUUGUUCUGCCCCUGAACAAGGCAGUUAACCCACUGUUCCUAUGCUGUCAUUGUAAAUAAGAAUUUGUUCUUAAUUAAGAGACUUGCCUAGUUAAAAUAAAGGUUAAAUAAAAUUUAAAAAACUUGCUAUUAUGACUAACAUCUUACUAAUUUGUUAUUACCACCAACAACUUACUAACUUGUUAUUGUCGCUAACAUCUUACUAACUUGUUAUUACCAGAUUUAACAAAUUUUGUUAAACUCUUUAUUUCUUAUAAUCUUUUAACUUAUUAGUUUGUUUUAAUUCAAAUCAGUUCAGGAGACGAGCCAAUCACGCUUUUGUGAUCCACAAACACUCCAUAAGCAUCCUUUAAUACCAAGCCACUCCUCUUUGCCCCCUGCCUGCCUUGCCUCCUCCUCUCAUUCCAUGAGCAGAGGUUCUGAACUAUCCAAUCAGGCCCCAGGCCAGCCAGGCACCUGUAAAAUCUUGGUCCUGAUGAAAACGGAGGUGUAUUAAACAAACUAAAUCAAUUUUUAAUUGUAACAAUAAAGAAGCACUUUUAUCCUUCCACUAUCCUUCUCAAUUUCAUCUUCCCUUGAGAUUGAGAUAGCAGAAGUGUUCACUUCCCUUUAAGAGAAGCUUGAUUAAGGGAAAGUGACUGGCUUCGCAGCACUGCAGCUUCCGGGUACCAUAGACUAUAAAGCACAAGCUGAUUUUUCUAGUGCUAAGUAACAUUUGGUGCUCCUAGUUUUUAAGUUGGCAGCACCAGUACUAUCAAUAGAGAAAAUGUUUUCGAGCCCUGAGUGUGACAGUUUGACUUCUCGUCUUUUAAGUUGGCAGCACCAGUGCUAUCAAUAGAGAAAAUGUUUUAGAGCCCUGAGUGUGACAGUUUGACUUCUCGUCUUUUAAGUUGGCAGCACCAGUGCUAUCAAUAGAGAAAAUGUUUUCGAGCCCUGAGUGUGACAGUUUGACUUCUCGUCUUUUAAGUUGGCAGCACCAGUGCUAUCAAUAGAGAAAAUGUUUUAGAGCCCUGAGUGUGACAGUUUGAC
This is a long non-coding RNA of Oncorhynchus keta (chum salmon), 3316 nucleotides long. RefSeq lists it as uncharacterized. Lineage: Eukaryota; Metazoa; Chordata; Actinopteri; Salmoniformes; Salmonidae. The transcript has 9 exons. The record is from RefSeq and is a predicted model, not a curated record.